AUCAAAGAAUUAGUGUGUGGUGAGGUCCUUCCAAGACUAUAGCUCUAUUGGAUAUCUUUCUUUAAUGCUUCAGAAGGCGCUGCCAUCUUCUACAUGGUCCCAGGGACUUGUGAGCACUAAUUAUCGGUGUGCAGCAAGAGCCAGUUAAAAUAAAUUCCUAGUUGGUGGCUUGUUUAUCACCUGGACAUACAGCUCAUAAACGACAGCAUUUAAAUGCCGAUGAGGCAUAAGGAAAUGUUUUAGAAUUAUGUGGGGAAAUCUCUCCCUUGGGAUAAUUGGUUUUUAAAGUGAUCUUCUCUCUGAUCAGGUUUCACCUCUAGGACAGAAGAGCUCGGUCUCACUGCACGGCCCGGGGUGACUCCUGUAGUCUGAACUCACAUCAAGGCCAUCUUGUGUCAAAUGCUCAGCCUGCAGGGUGUCUGGGAUAGACAAAUAAUUUUAGAAAUGGAUACAUUUGACAAAUAACCUUCACUGGUUAAAUGAGGUGAAAUAAAAAUAAAAUGUGUUUCAUAAUGUAUUAUUAUAAAAUAUCUAAAGAUGCGAUUGGUUCUGUAAGUAGCUAAGAACAUUUUGCCAGAUUAGCCUUCUGAAAUUAGCGUCACAACCACAUAAGAAUAAAAUAGGAUGGUAUUAGAUGUUACGUGUGUGUGUGUGUGUGUGUGUGUGUGUGUGCUGUGUAAAAUUGGAAUUUUAUGCAGGGCACAAACAUAUUUAAAAUAUUUGAAUUAUUGCUAAAAAUUUCAGAAAGUACAGGUAGGCAUUAAGUUAUACAAUUAGAACUGUUGAUCAGAACUAUCAACUUCUCGGCAGUUAUUAUGGUCACUAUCCCCGCAACUGGGGUAUCUAUACAGCCCCUCCUAGUCUUUUCAUUCAAUUUCUGCUUUCCGAAGUCACUAAGUCUACCUUGUAGUUAAAUACAAUGUCCUUUUCAUCAACCCAGUUGGACAUUUUUCAACAGUUGACAUGUGACCAUUUUCUGAGUCUUAAUAUCUUCCUUCCAAAUGUCAGGCAAUGUAACCAGUCCUAGCUGUGCAUGCCUGUACUUCCAGCUACUUGGGAGGCUGAAGCAGGAGGAUCCCUUGAGCCUAGGAGUUCAAAGCCAGCCUGGGCAACGUAGCAAGACACCAUCACUAAAAAAAAAAAAAGUCAGAUCAGGCAUUGUAAUAGGUAUUUUGCACAGGUAAUCUGAUUAAUCUGUGAGAACGGUUCCAUUAUACCAAGCCCAACAUUACCAUGAAACAAAUUUACCUUCCCUUCUCACUUUUUUUGUUAAAGCACCACUCUUUUAGUUUUAGGUUGAAAACUUCUGUAUGUUUCUGCAUCCUAAUCAUUCUGGGUUAGAAGAACACGUUAAUUAUGUGUCAAAACUGCCCUCAGCAUUAUUCGCCCCUUCUAUCCCCUCUCCUUUGUUUCCCUUUUAGAGUUUAAUUACUAGAACUGGGUCCAAGCUGUACUUGCCAGCUCCAGUACCCCUCUAAAUGAUCUAGCCUUUGCCUCAGUGGGUGGGCCAGCCUUCCUAAUGCCAUGCCUUCAGUAUGUGUUUUCUACAUACUAAUGACAGUCUCACUUGACUGCAAUCUGGACUGAGGUCCAUCCUCAGGUCAAAGUACUCAGGAACCCCCGACAAGUCUUCAAAAGCCCUCAUAUCUCAUACCUCAUCCUGAACUGAUGAGGUCUCUCACUACUCCUCCGCAUACUUUAGUUGCCAGUAUUAUUAUUAUUUUAUAAACAGGCUGAAUGAAAAAUUUCAGAAUGGUCAUUCAAUAAUACUGGCAACUGAAUUGUAUUAUGAUACAUAAUGGACCAGGCACUGUGCUAAGUGCUUUCCAAGAAAUCACUAUGAUCUUUACACCCCCCCGAGGGGGUGGCUAGUAGAUGAGGAAGCUGCAGUUGAGAAGCCUGCUCAAGGCACCACAGCUGGAGACUGGCACAGGUGUGCCUGGUGGCAGCAUCUCCACCUUGAGCCACUACGCCAUAUCCCAAGUGACCAUUCUACUGCCCUUGGCUUGCACUGACCUUCUAAAAUGUCCUCAUCCUUAGUCUCCAAGGAUCAGCUGUCCCACAAAACCUUUCCUGAUGUUGUUGGAAUCAGAAAACAAUACCCCAAAUGAAGUCCUCAGAUGUAAAAGUUAUUCCCUGACCUUCUUCUAGCCUCCUGUCUCUCAGUCCCAUUCUUCCCCAAGGCUGGCCAUAGAAACUAGAAUCCCUCUACCCCAAGGCAGGUCAUGGAAGCCAGAGCUCCUUUUCCCUACAACCAGCCAUAAAACCAAAAAGUAUGACUCUUGGGGUCCCUCUCCAGUCUUUCUGUGUAAAAAUUGGAAGUAAAUAAAUUGUCAUAAGACCCCCAUUCCAGGAAGGGUGCUGCCUCACAUUUAUAAGGAAGGAAUGCAUGAUCAGGGAGGCCAGGAAGAAUCUAGACAGACAGGCCUUGCUGGGUUUCCCCUCUUCGUCUAUUAACAUUCAAUUAUCCUUGUUUGGUCCAAUUUUAUUUCUUUUUUUUUUUUUUUGAGACGGAGUUAAGCUCUUGUUACCCAGGCUGGAGUGUAAUGGCGCGAUCUCGGCUCACCGCAACCUCCGCCUCCUGGGUUCAGGCAAUUCUCCUGCCUCAGCCUCCUGAGUAGCUGGGAUUACAGGCACGUGCCACCGUGCCCAGCUAAUUUUUUGUAUUUUUAGUAGAGACGGAGUUUCACCAUGUUGACCAGGAUGGUCUCGAUCUCUUGACCUGGUGAUCCACCCGCCUCGGCCUCCCAAAGUGCUGGGAUUACAGGCUUGAGCCACCGUGCCCAGCCUGGUCCAAUUUUAUUUCUAUACAUUUAUCCAUACUUUGUUGAACUAAAGCAUAAGAAUUGACAAUUUCACCUGUAUCUUUGGGUCUCCAUUCUGAAGGCUCCCGUAUCACAUAAAACUAUGAUCAAAUAAUUGAGUACGCCUUUUCUCCUAUUAACCUGCUUUUAUCAGCCAAUUUUCAACAAACCUUCGGAAGGAGAAGGGGAAGUUUCCCUUUGGCCUUGACAUUAUCCGCCCAAACCCGCAGAGGCCUCUCCCUCCCUUGAGUUUAUUGCUUCCCUGACUUGCAGGACACCAGAUAGCAUUGGAAUUUCAUGACCCCACAUUGCUAAUUGGUGUGUGUUUAUACUCCAAAUAAAAAAUGGGCAAUUUCCUUGAAAAUCUGUGUCAUAUUUCACUUCCACAGCAGUGGGUAUCAUUUGUGUUUUAGAAAAAUGACUAAAAUUGGUUUUAAUAGUAGCAGCUAACCAUUGUGAAAAGUGUUCGCUAAGCACCAGUUAGCAAACUAAUUGCUUUGCAUUCGUUAUCACAAUCUGUCCCCAGAAAAGCUCUCUUCUUGAAACACUUGAGCGCUAACACUUAGAGGAAGCUCCUGGAUUUACCUGUUUCCUUUAGAAACGAUUUUACUCCAUUGUCAUAGAAUAGAUGGGGGUACAGUGCCUAAUGUGGACCCCUUCAGAGCCUCCACCACAUGACUAGGAGCUCCAUGGCUGAUCUGAGGGGUCUGGAAAUACAGAGCCACAUGCAAAGGAACUGAGAGGGACAGCCCAUAACUUAAGUGUGUAAAGUUACGUUGAAUUGUUUGCACACACAGAGAUUCUACUUACCCAUAAAGAUAAUGAUUCACUGUUGUGUUAUUUACAGUUGUGACAGAAUACUGAUUUUUAGUCAUUGCUUAGAAUUUAAGAAAAUUAGUAAGUCCAAGCUUAUAAAUAAAUGUAGUGGCUUAAAUCGAAUUUUUAAAGUUGUCCUUAGGAGUGUCACUUCUUCAGUGAGCUGUACCUUCUUUCUCCAGCCUCAGUGAUUGCAUCUUCUUCUUUUUCCUUCAUUGACGGGUAUUCACAGCCACCUCUUCUCAGUGGGUGUUUUAAUUUUUUUUUUUCAGAGAUGGGGGUCUUGCUGUAUUGUCCAGGCUGGGGUGCAGUGGUAUGAUCAUAGCUCAUUUUCACCUCGAAUUCCGAGGCUCACGCCAUCUUCCUGCCUCCGAGUAGCCGGGACUAAUGGCACAUGGCACCAUGCUGGGCCAAUUUUUUUUUUUACUUUGUGGGGUUAUUUUGUUGUUGUUUGAGACAAGAUCUUGUCCUGUUGCUCAGGCUGGAGUGCAGGGUCGCCAUUAUAGCUCACUAUAGACUUGACCUUCUGGUUUGAAGUGGUCCUCCCACCUCAACCACUGGAGUGUCACCACCACAACCAACUAUUUUUUAAAUUGUUUGUAGUGAUGGGGUCUUGCCAUUCUCAUUGGAUUUGACUGGGUCUGAGUGAGAUCUUGCAACUGGGCCGUUUUACAUAUUAUGUUCUAAGGGAAAUAAAUACACAGGAUGUUUUCAUUUUACAACUUGGGUAAAAAGCUACUUCACAAUCACUUGGCCAGAUAUUCUGGGUAACACUCAUAAAAUACUUCUCUUUUUGCCUUAGAUAUAGCCAUGGAAUCUUGAAUUCUACAGACAUAAGUAACACAGAUGAUCAGCUGGAAAGAAAGGAAAUGUGACUGUAGGUGAUUAGGCUCUUUAAGACCCUCCUUGGCGGUCUGAGAAGUGGUCCAGGCAGGUGGCACAGCUAGGUUUCCAUACUGACCCACUGUGCUGUCAUCCUUCUCCAGCCAGUGCCCCUUUGGAGGGAGUCACCAACAGAAUGUGUGGCAUCAAUGCCUGGCUCCACCCAUGUCAUGGGCUCUGCUUCACUCACCCAAGACAGGGUUCCCUGGGCGGCUGGAUCCCCUACUCAGGCUCCCCAAAUUCUCAGGGAAAAAUGAUAGACUGUGACAAAAAGGCGGUCUAUUAUUUUACUUUUUAAUAGAGUUCUGUCAGUUAUAGCACAUGCCAUAAAUUACAGUGACCUUUAAAAUCUAGCUUGGUCACUGCUGAAUGGGUGAGAAUCGGCUUGGUUCCAGUUUUUAAGGUCACACUGUCCUAAAUUGCUAUGCAUCACACCAUGUGCUAAGUUGGUAACAACCACUUAGAGGAAAGCUUUCGUUAUGCAAGCGAGCACAUAAAAAAGGGCACUUAUCCAAAAUGAAUGCAGCAAUUUAAACCAAAGAUGUUUGUGCAGAGCAACAACAAGGUAAGGCAGGCAUUUGGGAUAAACUAGGCUGAUGUCUUUGAACACCCGUGGACUAAUUGGAAGGUCUGAAUAUCUGGUGGCUGAUGGGCUCUGGAUGUCUUAUCAUUGCUUAGAAGUGAAAAUUAAAUGCUGAGUUAUGUGUGUGAAAAUACUUAUAUUUGCAUAUAUACGUGAAAUGUAAACCAAAGAUACAAUUCUAAGUCCCCCAACCUACUGAAUGGACAUUUCCUCUCAGCCAAGGGCCUUCCAAAGUUAACCUGAAACACUAGUUCAUGCUGUGAUGGAAAUGAGUAGUUGGACAUGUCUGCAUGAAAAGAAAUCAGACACCACUGACCAGCAUUAACAUUAAAACAGAGACCUUAAGUCUGACGAAGCAGACUCUAUGUAGCAAUAAGAUGCUGACAUGACAGCAAGCUCUGAAAGCAAUAGAAAUAUUUUACCUCAAAAUAUAUUUCUUUGAUAUAUUUCAAAAUGACCCUGCAAAGCUGUCUCUUGUGGGAAGAAUCUACAUUCUGUAGAGAAUCCUCUUCCCUUUCAAGGUAUUUUGUUUCUGAUCUAGGAGAGAAUUAACUAAGUCUGGCACCUUUUUGAGUCUGAUAGGAAGCAUUUAUAAUCUAUUCUCUCAGAAGUCUGCUACCAGGAGAUUUUACCUGCAAAAUAAGAACCCUGGUCUCUCUGACCCCUUAUUUUAAUCCAAACACACCCUUCUAUUGACUCUGGGUCUUAGAUAAACUCUUUCAACUAAUUGCCAAAAGGAAACCUUUGAAUCCACCUAUGGCCUACGAGCCUGCCCAUCUUGAGCUGUCCUGUUUUUCCAGACCAAACCGAUGUGUAUCUUACACAUAUUGGUUGAUGCCUUAUGUCUCCCUAAAACAUAUAAAAUGAAGCAGCAGUUCAACCACCUGGGACACAUGUGGCCACCUUGACAAAAUAAACUAAAUUGACUGAACCUGUGUCAGAUGCUUUUUGGCUUACAAUCAUUUAUAUAAAUAAUAAAACCAAGAGGAUGAAAAAGACUCUCAAAACUUAGCUAAUUCCUUCACCUAAAAUAAUAUAGACAUAUUAUUUUUUAUGUAAGAUUUUAGCAGUAGUGUCAUCUUCAUAUGUAGACAGCAAGUUACUUUAUGAUGGAAGACAAGAUGCUCAGCCUGAGGGAAUUUUCUAGACAAAAGGAAUUACCACUUAAAAAGGAAACAUCUUAAAAUACAUUUUAGUCAUUCUGUAUGGAAACACUAUUCGCUUACUCUAGCUGGAUAAACAUAGUUUAAUGUUGUCAUGAAAAUUGUGUUACUGACAUAACAUCAAAAGAAAUGUGCUGUUCUUGGAAGCCAUUUGCCCCUGCCUGUCUUCUUCAUCUGGGUCUGCCCUGGAGGGUUUCUGGAUGCCUUUCCUGCUGGGCUGUUGACACAUCGGCUGCUCUUCUCUACAUAUGUUUCCUUUCUAGGUCUUUUUCCUGAUCUAGAAGAGAAUUAACUAAGUCUGGAGCCUCACUUACAAAUUUUUACCAAUGUGGAAAAGCCAUGUUUUUCUACAAGUGUGUAUUAACACUUUGUAAUCAUAUUGACUUGAGUAUGUUCUGUCAUUGUAUUAGGAAUAGUAAAUUCCUCUUCAAAAGGUUUAAUUGCAUAAUGUUCCUAUCCUUUGCUCAAAAGCCCAACCUCCUUGUACUCUUGUCUGGAACCUGCAAACAACACUCCUGCUCUAGUCAUGCCCUGGUAUGCCCAGACAUGUCCAGAUAUGCCUUGUACUAUAAUGGACAGACCAUUCCCACCCACUGCCUCCUCUUAGAAAACAGGCCCUAACCAUAUUUAGAAAAGUUCAAGCCUUAGCCAAUCAGGAUCAGCUUUGAUGGUGCAGUCCAACCUAGCCAAUAGGGGAAGGGCACAGGGACAGGAACUGCAUUAGGAAUAAAAACCCCUUCUCUCCUUUGUUUGGUGUGCUCUUGUGAUUGUGACUGAUGCAGGCAGCACCCUUCUGCAGAAGUAAAUUGCCUUGCUGAGAAAACUUUUUGCCUGAGUGCUAGUUCUUCUUUGCGGCACCAAGCAUUUGUUUCUGACAAUUGGCUUAAAAUGUAGAUUUUGCACCUUGGUAAAAAUUUGCUAGGACACCUGUGUGUGGUUUGUGGCUCUGAGUACACUGUGCCACCCACUUUGAGAGCAGCAUGUGAGCUGCCAUGCUAACAUGUAAGUGAGGCCCCACACUUAGUUUAAAGUUGUUUUCAGUAAGAAAGGUUGUCAUGCAUCUGGAGGAUGUGACCAUUUCUCCUUCUCAGUAUAAAAACACAGUGGUCAGACUGUUCUACUCAGAUGCUGAGUGCUGCAGGAUGCUAAGGGAAUGGUGCAAGGACUGUAGAUGCUUUUACAGAAACUGAGAGACUACCUACUAUUUUAAGGCUGCCUGGGUGAUUGCACAGUAAUUACUGCCAAGUUGCAUAUGAAGACUUUUACAUUUUUAAAAUUGUAUCCCCAAAAAUUGUAAUAUCAUUUAUGGUGACAUGAAAUUUGAGUAGCAAUUGUUAAAAUAAUUGAGAUGCCAUUAGGCUGAGAUGGUCCUAGAGCCCUUCGGUUCCCAGGUAAGGAAAUCCAACCAAGCUCAAUUCAACAUAAACAGUGAAAAAAAAAACCCUUUACCACUCAGAAACCACCACCAAGGCCAGGGACUUUCCAAUAGACCAUACUCAAUUAAGACAAAUACUCAGCCCUAGAAAAUCAAGCAGUGGCUUUGCUUCGCUUCAUGUUCAGCCUAUAAAACCCUGCUGCUCUUGCUGCUAGAGUGAAGCUCUCUGAACCUCUUCAGGUUUGAAUGCUAUCUAAUUCAUGAAUCCUUUAAUGCUCAGAUAAACUCUGCUGAAUUAAUUUUGUCUCAAAUUUUCCUUUUAAUACAACUCUUUAUUUUCUGUGGUUUGGAAAAACAGAGUAAUAAUUUUAUUAGAACUCUGUGCAAAGUAAGUAUGUGUAUGCUCUAAGUGAAGCAAAGAGAGGGCUUCCUUCUUAUUAAAUGUGCUUUCCUUAAGAAUUUUCCAAGAAAAUGUGCAGUACCCUCUGCUACUUCUGAGGCUCUCUGUUUUGUCUUCCUAGUCCAUCACAAUUGCCACUCAUUGGGUUUUGGGUGUGUGUUUUCAUAUAGUGGUUACUGUCUAUAUUGCUAUACCCAGAUUCUAAGAACCUGGAGAAGGAUUAGCAAUUCUUAUAACAGUAAGUUUACUGUGUAUAGGAACGGUUUGUAUUUCAUUAUAGCUAUCCAUCUUUUCUACAUUAAAAAUAUUUUUCUCAAAAAAAAAAAAAAUAGAUGUUCUUUCCUACCAGGGCAUAAAAAAUACCUUAAAAAGCAUUUUUAUUUACUUCUGGGUUCCUUACUGCACUCCAAAAAGCUGGUUUGCCUGAAAGUACAUAUUACAUAAGAGAGAUACUAGGAAAAUUGACUUCAGCAAUUUUAUGUCUUGCCUCACAUAAAAGGCUUGGAUGCACCAAAUUUCCACAAUGUAAAACCCUUCCAGAAUUUAAAAAAAAGUAACAAUAGAAAAAUCUUAAACAUACUACAGAGACAGAUUUAAAAUGUUACUGGGCAUACUCAAAUAAAGUAAAUGAUAAAUACUGUCUCAUUUCAAUUUCAGCUAUUAAGAAAUAUUUGUUUCUAAAUUUGCCAUAUAUACAUUUCUGAAAUUACAUCCUAAAGGGACUGCCUUCCUAAUUGGGGAUAUCAGUAUUUAUCACAGCUCUUCUCAGCAUGGAAGCUUUGCAACAACAAAUACCAAAAUACAUGUGUUACGCCACACAAUCGGGAAGCUCUGCUCUCACUGAAUUCUGAAUAAGAGACGGAUAAUUCUAUUUUGAUUCUCCAACGUGUGCUUGUGCCAAUUUAAAACUUUUCUUCUUUGAGGCAAAUAGCUGCUUUUAGUAAGAGGUCAGUGUACUAGUGAUAACUUUAAAGAGAUGAAAAGGCUUUGCAUUGACUAUUUCAGUUAUCUUGAGGUCUCCAGAUUUGUAAGUAUCGCCUCAUUCAUUUUCCAAAAGGCUCAUUAAGCUGGUUUGGAGAAAGUAUGAGUGCGAUUUUUUUUCCGGUAAAAAAAAAAAUAAAAAGUGAACUCAUGUCAGUCAUCUAGACAUUACUCGAUUUUGUCUUUUCUGAAGUCCUACCAAAUUUCUGUUCUCUGAGGGGCUGACCCAGAGCUCCUGGUUGACCAAGCUCGCUCCUCCCUGGGGAACAAAGGGCAGCAGCAUUGGCCAAAGACAAAAAGAAACCCUGGAAAGACAUCCUUCUUUACAUUUCCUGCCUGCUGGAGUGAGGGUCGAGGCAAAACUUGCUCCUACUUUUCUACUUCGCCCUUCACAUUAACAACAACAAUUUGAAGGGCAUUAAGAUUUAAUGUGUUCUCUGCGGAUUCAUACCAGUUCCUAAAAUGAAGUACUAAACUCUAUUACUUAUUGAUGACAUCUGAGUCAGAAGUUUUUCUUCAUGUACUUCUUCAUUUUCUGGACUUUGAACUUCCCUCUCUUGUUAAAGCAAAGCAGCUGUGGCAAACCAGCCUUUUAUUUUUUCCUGCGUUGCAUAAAAUAGAAUAACACUCUCCAAGCAUAAUCCAGCUUCUGUGAUUUAUAUUCGUCAGCACCUCAGGACCUUACACCACGCCAAGCUUUGUGACCAUUGGGAAUGUUUGCAGACCCUGUUGUGGCCAUGGUGCAUCCCUCUACUCCCCAAGGAUUCUCUCUUCUACCCUCAGCCAGUGAUCUGCCCUCACGACACCAGUUUUCCAUGGCAGAGACAUGGUCCACAGGGAGGAAAUAUGCUUUCAGGGCAGCAUGCUUGGAUUCCUCUAAAAAUCAUAUACUUUCCCUCUAAAAUCAUGUACAUUUUUCCAUCUCCCUUUCCUCUAACCAGUAAGCUAUUUAAGCAUCUGAACCCCCAUUGAGAUGUUGGACAAUCACUCUGUAAUUCUUUCUGCAUGCAUGGUAGUAAUAAAUCUGUAUGCCUUUUCUCAUUAAUGUGCCUUUUUUUGUGAGCUGAUUUUUCAGCAAACCUUCCGAAGGGAAAGGGGAAGCUUUCCCUUUGCCCCGCAGCUGGUAAUGAUUGGCUCAUGGCAGCACAUGGUAACAGAAGGUAGAUGGUUUCUGAGUGAGCAACCCACUGUCAGGAGGACUGCCCCAUGAUCAGAGUGCUUGGCUGGCUCAUCAGAGGGCACUGAUUUGGCACUGAUUUUUACCAACCCUUCAAACAUCAACACCUGGUCAGCUACCCAUGAGAGAAAAGGAAGUUUGCCAGAGAAAGAAGGUUCAAGGAAGCUCUAAACAGACUGAAGAGAAAUGCUGACAGACUGAAAGUGGUCUAGAGUCAAUACACGUGACCAAGGAGGCACAGAUGGAGCUUGCCGGCAGUAGAGUUGACGUAUCACAUAACAACAUUUCAGCCAACAACGGACCACAUAUAUGACAGAUUAUGCUGGACCUGAGAAACUCCUCUCACCUAGCAAUGUCGUAGCCAUGGUAACAUCAAAAGGCAAUGCAUUACUCAAGCGGCUGUGGUGAUGCUGGUGUAAACAAACCUCCUGCGCUGCUAUUUGCAUGAAAGUAUAGCACAUACCGUUGUAGUGUAUGUAUAUAGAUUGAUAAUGAUAAUAAAUGACUGUUGCUGGUUUA
This is a non-coding RNA of Callithrix jacchus (white-tufted-ear marmoset), 10700 nucleotides long. The record is from RefSeq and is a predicted model, not a curated record. Lineage: Eukaryota; Metazoa; Chordata; Mammalia; Primates; Cebidae.